RNAcentral lists this ribosomal RNA (314 nucleotides) under uncultured eukaryote. RNAcentral's name for it is "partial 18S ribosomal RNA". It matches the Rfam family "Eukaryotic small subunit ribosomal RNA", at positions 1470 to 1796 of the family's 1831-position model. The record is from RNAcentral.
CCCCUAGAUGUUCUGGGCCGCACGCGCGCUACACGAAACAGUUCAACAAGUCUUAACCUUGGCCGAUAGGUCUGGGUAAUCUUUGAACGCUGGUCGUGAUGGGGAUAGACUUAUGCAAUUUUUGGUCUUCAACGAGGAAUUCCUAGUAAACGCAAGUCAUCAACUUGCAUUGAUUACGUCCCUGCCCUUUGUACACACCGCCCGUCGCACCUACCGAUUGAAUGGUCCGGUGAAGCCUCCGGAUUGGCGCGCACCUCGGUGCCGCCGAGAAGUUGGCUAAACCUUACCAUUUAGAGGAAGGUGAAGUCGUAACA